UACGUAGGGGGCAAGCGUUGUUCGGAAUUACUGGGCGUAAAGGGUGCGUAGGCGGCGCGGUAAGUCGGGUGUGAAAUCUCGGGGCUUAACUCCGAAACUGCAUUCGAUACUGCCGUGCUUGAGGACUGGAGAGGAGACUGGAAUUUACGGUGUAGCGGUGAAAUGCGUAGAUAUCGUAAGGAAGACCAGUGGCGAAGGCGGGUCUCUGGACAGUUCCUGACGCUGAGGCACGAAGGUCAGGGGAGCAAACGGG
This 253-nucleotide ribosomal RNA is filed under the name uncultured bacterium. RNAcentral's name for it is "partial 16S ribosomal RNA". It matches the Rfam family "Bacterial small subunit ribosomal RNA", at positions 524 to 776 of the family's 1533-position model. The record is from RNAcentral.